UCGUGGAACCCAGUCAGACGACG
RNAcentral lists this non-coding RNA (23 nucleotides) under Cricetulus griseus (Chinese hamster). The record is from RNAcentral. Lineage: Eukaryota; Metazoa; Chordata; Mammalia; Rodentia; Cricetidae.